This 1288-nucleotide ribosomal RNA is filed under the name uncultured Geodermatophilaceae bacterium. RNAcentral's name for it is "bacterial SSU rRNA". It matches the Rfam family "Bacterial small subunit ribosomal RNA", at positions 96 to 1397 of the family's 1533-position model. The record is from RNAcentral. Lineage: Bacteria; Bacillati; Actinomycetota; Actinomycetes; Geodermatophilales; Geodermatophilaceae.
UGGCGAACGGGUGAGUAACACGUGGGCAACCUGCCCUCAGCUCUGGGAUAACUCCAAGAAAUUGGGGCUAAUACCGGAUAUGUCUGCUGACCGCAUGGUCUGGUGGUGGCCAGUUUUUCGGAAUGGGGAUGGGCCCGCGGCCUAUCAGCUUGUUGGUGGGGUAGUGGCCUACCAAGGCGACGACGGGUAGCCGGCCUGAGAGGGUGACCGGCCACACUGGGACUGAGACACGGCCCAGACUCCUACGGGAGGCAGCAGUGGGGAAUAUUGCGCAAUGGGCGAAAGCCUGACGCAGCGACGCCGCGUGGGGGAUGACGGCCUUCGGGUUGUAAACCUCUUUCAGUAGGGACGAAGCGCAAGUGACGGUACCURCAGAAGAAGCACCGGCCAACUACGUGCCAGCAGCCGCGGUAAUACGUAGGGUGCAAGCGUUGUCCGGAAUUAUUGGGCGUAAAGAGCUCGUAGGCGGUUCGUCGCGUCGGCUGUGAAAUCCCGAGGCUCAACCUCGGGUCUGCAGUCGAUACGGGCGGACUUGAGUACUGCAGGGGAGACUGGAAUUCCUGGUGUAGCGGUGAAAUGCGCAGAUAUCAGGAGGAACACCGGUGGCGAAGGCGGGUCUCUGGGCCGAAACUGACGCUGAGGAGCGAAAGCGUGGGGAGCGAACAGGAUUAGAUACCCUGGUAGUCCACGCCGUAAACGUUGGGCGCUAGGUGUGGGGCUCAUUCCACGAGUUCCGUGCCGCAGCUAACGCAUUAAGCGCCCCGCCUGGGGAGUACGGCCGCAAGGCUAAAACUCAAAGGAAUUGACGGGGGCCCGCACAAGCGGCGGAGCAUGUUGCUUAAUUCGAUGCAACGCGAAGAACCUUACCUAGGCUUGACAUGCACGGAAAUCCUCCAGAGAUGGUGGGUCCGUAAGGGCCGUGCACAGGUGGUGCAUGGUUGUCGUCAGCUCGUGUCGUGAGAUGUUGGGUUAAGUCCCGCAACGAGCGCAACCCUCGUUCUAUGUUGCCAGCACGUCAUGGUGGGGACUCAUAGGAGACUGCCGGGGUCAACUCGGAGGAAGGUGGGGAUGACGUCAAAUCAUCAUGCCCCUUAUGUCUAGGGCUGCAAACAUGCUACAAUGGCCGGUACAAAGGGCUGCGAUACCGCGAGGUGGAGCGAAUCCCAAAAAGCCGGUCUCAGUUCGGAUUGGGGUCUGCAACUCGACCCCAUGAAGUUGGAGUCGCUAGUAAUCGCAGAUCAGCAACGCUGCGGUGAAUACGUUCCCGGGCCUUGUACACACCGCCCGU